GCAAACAUUAGUGGAAGCCUUUGAACUGUGUAGUUGUUGUUGGGGGAGAGGAGGACAUGAUCCUGAACCGCAAAAUGUCUCACAUCAGAAGCAACUUUAUAGAGGCUCAUGCACAGGGGUCCCAGGCAAUACAUAAGCCUGUAAGCCACCAUGACGAGACAUUAUGGUUCAUCUGUCCUGGGAAGGUGACCUUUUGAGAACUACUGGUCUACAAACCGCAAACCACAAGGUCGGGAGGAGAAUUGGGAAAGGAAACCAUAAGGAAAUGGGAGCAGGAAAUCAUAACAGUUACAGAACACGUCGCAUUCAGGAGAGUAUAUUUCCCUUUGUGGUCCAAAGGCUUAUGGCAGAUAGGCACCAAGCAAAGGGCUGCAAGGAAGAAAGAAGAAAGGUAGAAAGGAAGAUGGUGGCCCCCAGGGGUCCCAUCCAGUGUGGGGUUGUGAGUAUAAACAGGAAACCAAAGAAGCUCUCCUAUCAACAAAACAUUGAAAACAGCCAUCAAUUUGAAAUGGUUAGUAUAGAUAUAUAUAAAACCUGUUUCUUUGAAUUAAGAUGAUAAUAUUAAGGAAUAAAUAUUUCUCCAUCUGAAGUCCUUUCUAGGCU
RNAcentral lists this long non-coding RNA (603 nucleotides) under Phascolarctos cinereus (koala). RNAcentral's name for it is "lncRNA (ENSPCIG00000023549.2)". Lineage: Eukaryota; Metazoa; Chordata; Mammalia; Diprotodontia; Phascolarctidae. The record is from RNAcentral.